RNAcentral lists this long non-coding RNA (787 nucleotides) under Amborella trichopoda. Its description in RNAcentral is "long non-coding RNA (ATRI_LNC000149)". Lineage: Eukaryota; Viridiplantae; Streptophyta; Magnoliopsida; Amborellales; Amborellaceae. The record is from RNAcentral.
UAAGCAUGACAUCAAUUGGUCUUCUCCCUCUCUCUCUCCUCUAAACUAAGAGCCUUUCUCUCUCUCCACGUAAGUUCAUCUCUCCCUCUUUUUCAUGUCAAUUUCAAUCAUGAGCAUAAUAGUUUCAAUGAUUUCAUCAAAUCAUCUCAUUAUUUUGAGUCUCCUUCUCUUGGGCUAGAAGAACAAGCGAUCCGCCAUUGCAGCUAACUCCAAUUUUUGACGAGAUUCAUUACAUCUGCAAGGCUAUGGACAUCUUAUGGCAGCAUAUGUGGAGGAUGUCUAAUGAUACCGUAGACAGUUUGGCGAAAGAGGGAGCUAGAAGCCAUAGUCAAGUCACUCAAGCCGGGUCCACAUUCUUUUUUCUGCAAGACCAGUGGAACCUAACCAGUACCUGAACCUUUUGUGUUUAGAUACCCUUUUUGGUUAUUGGUCUUUUGUAUCUUUACUGUAAAUGGGCACUCUUUUAAGCCUUUUCUUCCUUUUCCUGCUACUUCCUUGUAAACUUUGUAAGGGGGCAUUGUUCAUAUGCCCAUUUUUUGUUACAGGGUCUAUUUGACCUAUUUUUUACCAAGAGUCCCAUCUAGAGGGUACUCCAUCUAGAGGGUACUCUUGGAUCAAUCCCUAACUGUAAUCUUUCUCCAUAUAGCAAUACAAAAGUCUAACUUUUCUAGAAAAAAAUCAUCUCAUUAUUUUAAUGAUUUUCAUUAUCAUCUCCUCCUCAUCAUCCAAGGUUGUUAUUAUCAUCUCAUUAUUUUAAUAAUUUUCAUUCUCAUCUUCUCCCUCAUCA